Long non-coding RNA from Stylophora pistillata, 589 nucleotides. The record is from RefSeq and is a predicted model, not a curated record. NCBI's taxonomy places the organism in Eukaryota, Metazoa, Cnidaria, Anthozoa, Scleractinia, Pocilloporidae.
CUUCCAUUAUUUUUGCACCUAAACACAAAUAUCUCCUUUUUAUGCUUUGGAAAUUGAAAAUUUGAACAAUCCGAAGUUUUUCCCCAAAGAAAUGCCGAGAAAUACGAGAAAACUUGUCGUUAACGCGGUAAAUAUUCUGAGCUUUGGAGACGCCUUUGGAUUCAACCGCCACGACGCGUUCUUCGUUUCGAUUUACACUCGUCUGCUUCGUUUGAGAAAGAAAUGAUGUUUGGGAAACAUUGAUGGCAACAUGAGAGUUUGGAAAAGUGUCGCCAGAGGUUCUUUGCAUAUACUACAGCAGCCAUGACUUGAUAAACAGGACACAUGGAACGUGUGGUAACAGGCAAGGCGAACAAAGUUACCACCAUAAUGAUUGUUGUUGCAGUCAGGAACACCCUAUCAGGCAAUACUCUGUUGUCAUCUCUUGUUAUUGACCUCAGUAGAAGAUCGAAAAGCCUAGGAGCAUUCUUCUCACAAAAGUCCCUCAUCACAGCUGGCUCGUAGAGUUGUACCUCUGGUCUGCUUUCAUAGUAUUUGAACAUAGCAGUCUGGAACUGAGUGACCAACAGGUCAAAGUGUUUUGUCAAGU